Long non-coding RNA from Mercenaria mercenaria, 2520 nucleotides. RefSeq lists it as uncharacterized. The transcript is spliced from 3 exons. The record is from RefSeq and is a predicted model, not a curated record. NCBI's taxonomy places the organism in Eukaryota, Metazoa, Mollusca, Bivalvia, Venerida, Veneridae.
UUUAAAUUUCCCUCCAGUGAAUAAUGGAGUUACUUCCCCUUUUGUUUACGUUUUUGUUUUGAAAAUAUUAGUUGAAUACAUUGACAAACAAAUGCAAAUAUAUAAUUUUUAUUCAUGGAAAAAUGAACAAUAAAAUAUAGAACAUAAACAAUAUCUUACCUUUAUUUCUUAUCGAAGUGAAAGUACAUCGAAUUAACUGCGAGGCUGUGAAACAGGUACAUGUAUAUGUGACGUCACGCAAUGGUUUCGGCGAUGAACGAAAAGGUAUUGAAAAUGAUGAUUUUGUGUUAGUUAAAAGGAAGACAGUUUACAUUCAGUGUGGCCAAAAUCUCUUCUAUGCUAAUUAUACUUCUCGUAAUUAUACCGAAUGUGUCAUCACGGCCAACAGGAUCACCAGCUAAAGCCGACAACAUAAAAUUAAGAAAACGCCCCACGGUAGCUGAUGUCAGACACAGUAUUCGAGAAUUAGAACAAAUAGAACGCUACUAUCAGCAACUGCUUAUUAGAGGAUAUCUUCCAGAAAGCGAUGCAAGAAGAUUAGAACUCCUGAAUGAAUUCAUCGAGCAGCUGAGGACUCGGUUACAAUCCCUCGUCAAUGCAGAGCCACAUAGUUAAUAAUAGACGCCAUGCUGAGGACUCGGAUACAAUCCCUGGUUAAUACAGAGCCGCAUAGUAAUUUACAGACGCCAUACUGAGGACUCGGUUACAAUCCCUGGUUAAUACAGAGUCGCAUAGUUAUUAAUAGACGCCAUACUGAGGACUCGGUUACAAUCCCUGGUUAAUACAGAGCUGCAUAGUUAAUAAUAGACGCCAUGCUGAGGACUCGGAUACAAUCCCUGGUUAAUACAGAGCCGCAUAGUAAUUUACAGACGCCAUACUGAGGACUCGGUUACAAUCCCUGGUUAAUACAGAGCCGCAUAGUUAUUAAUAGACGCCAUACUGAGGACCCGGUUACAAUCCAACCCCUGGUCAAUACAGAGUCACAUAGUUAAUGAUAAACGCCAUACUUCUCUUGGAAGCCCUGCUAACUCUAUGUUUUGAUGAAACUAUUUUUGCUAGGCAAUAUAUUAACCAUUGUGCAUGUAAUUUAAGAUAGACAUCCGAUUGUACUAGUCAAUAAAUAUUAAAACAAAGACAACAAGGACUUCCUCAAUAAAGUGGGAUGUUUGGAAACAUCCAUGGUAUAUUUCAAUUUGAAGACAACAUUCUACAAAAACCAAAUUCUUACAAGGCCUUUUCCUCAAAACACUUUUUAUGCAACAAAUUUUUAAAAGGUGUCAUUUUUACUUAAUCGAAAGUGUGAAAGAGACGCUUUUAGAUACCUAAAUUGAACUAAAGUCAUAGUUUUCAAAGUGGAGUUUAACGCUUUGUGAAAUUAUAAUCACUAAAUCGCCAACUGUUUGUAUAUUAUCCGUGUAUCUAUAAAACUUUUUUCUCUCUAAAUUUGAGCAUCGGUUAAGCAUUUCAUUGCCUUUAAGUGGACUUUAUCUGUUUUUUUUUUCGAAAUAGGACCUGGGGCCGUAUUCAUAAAGCAUCUUAAGUAUAAGUAUAAGAAAUUGGUUAUUUACUUAAGUAUUUCUUAGGUUAGAAAUUUAUUUUAUUAAGUAUAUUUGUUAUUCAUAAAACAACUUAAUAAGUAAUUCUUGUUUUUUAUUGUGGACGAAAACAUUAAAAAAACAACAUUAAUUUCAGACAGAUACAACAUGCACAAUUAUGUUUAAAGUGCUUUUAUCUGAAAACAACACUUUAAUCGUACUCACCACGCUAUUUUAUUUUCUGACUUAAGUCAUUUCUUACGUAUCUUAAGUUUUAGCUGUUUUAUGACUAGAACUUAAGUUUUUACUUAGACUUAAGUUGAAAACACCACAAACUUAAGUAAAAUCUUAAACUUAAGUCAAAACUUAUACUUAAGAUGCUUUAUGAAUACGGCCCCAGUUCUUUUUCUGACAUUUAAAAUAACAUUUUCAUUAAUGUCUCUUAUUGAAUUUAUUUAACGAGUUGGGUAAAAUAAAAAAAGAUGAGCAUUUUAUCAAUUUUAUUGAAAGAGUUAAAUAAAUUCAAUGUGGAAAUAAAAUAUGUAAGAAGAUCCUUUGGAAGCAUAGAAUGCAACCAAGCAAAAUAAAAGCAGACUCGGUUUGAAGGCGGUGCCCCACUGUGUUCCUUUGUUUGUUCGUUUCGUCUUAUGUGUUGGCUUUGUGUGCGUGUGUGUUGUUCGUUUUGUCCUUAUGUGUUGGCUUUGUGUGUGUGUGUGUGUGUGUGUGUGUGUGUGUGUGGUGCACGCGUCUGCGUGCUGGGGGUUUCGUUUUGAGGAGGCUGCGUUUUUGUGCGUGGCAUUCCCUGUUUGAUAUUUUUCUUUGUUUUUUUGACUGUCUGUUCAUGAGAGGUAAUGGAAUUACUUAGUUAAUUAGAGGUAAUUGGUAAGUGCAACUAGCACCGGCUUAAGCGGAACUCUGUUACACAUGUAUUAAACGGACUCCAUGAUCCCAAUGGACCAGAAAAUAUAACAACACUGAAAGACAC